UCCUGAGUGGUUCAGUGGGUUAAGAACCGACUAGUAUCCAUGAGGAUGCAGGUUCGAUCCCUGCCCUGGGAA
Molecule: transfer RNA, 72 nt
Filed under: Sus scrofa (pig)
Lineage: Eukaryota; Metazoa; Chordata; Mammalia; Artiodactyla; Suidae
Rfam family: tRNA
About the family: Transfer RNA (tRNA) molecules are approximately 80 nucleotides in length.
Source: Rfam by way of RNAcentral